RNAcentral lists this ribosomal RNA (560 nucleotides) under uncultured microeukaryote. RNAcentral describes it as "SSU rRNA". It matches the Rfam family "Eukaryotic small subunit ribosomal RNA", at positions 4 to 572 of the family's 1831-position model. The record is from RNAcentral.
CUGGUUGAUCCUGCCAGUAGUCAUAUGCUUGUCUCAAAGACUAAGCCAUGCAUGUCUAAGUAUAAGUGUUAUACAGUGAAACUGCGAAUGGCUCAUUAAAACAGUUAUAGUUUAUUUGAUAAUCGAAUUUACAUGGAUAACCGUGGUAAUUCUAGAGCUAAUACAUGCUGGUUAGCCUGACUUUUAGGAAGGGCUGUAUUUAUUAGAUAACAAACCAAUAUUCCUUGUGUCUAUUGUGACGACUCAUAAUAACUGAUCGGAUCGCAUGGGCUUUGCCCGCGACAAAUCAUUCAAGUUUCUGCCCCAUCAGCUUUCGAUGGUAGUGUAUUGGACUACCAUGGCUUUAACGGGUAACGGAGGAUUAGGGUUCGAUUCCGGAGAGGGAGCCUGAGAAACGGCUACCACAUCUAAGGAAGGCAGCAGGCGCGUAAAUUACCCAAUCGCGACUCGCGGAGGUAGUGACAAGAAAUAACGGACCGAAGCCUAUGUUUCGGGAUUGCAAUGAGUAGAAUUUAAACCCCCUUACGAGGAUCAAUUGGAGGGCAAGUCUGGUAAUCUCU